Molecule: ribosomal RNA, 120 nt
Organism: Lupinus angustifolius (narrow-leaved blue lupine)
Lineage: Eukaryota; Viridiplantae; Streptophyta; Magnoliopsida; Fabales; Fabaceae
Source: Rfam
AGAUGCAAUUAUACCAACACUAAUGCACUAAAUCUCCCAUCAGAACUUUGUAGUUAAGCGCUUUUAGCGAGAGUAGUACUAGGAUGAGUGACCUCCUGGGAAGUCUUCGUGUUGCACCUC